UAUAUUUAAUCUGGUGGUUUUUCUUUAUUAUGAUUAAUAGUUUUGUUUUUAUUGCUUUAUUUAAUUUAACUUUCUUAUAUACAGUUUCAGCCCGUUUUCUCUUCAAUUUUUUUAAAUCUCUAAGAUGAAUAACGCACGAAGACAAUGCUCAGAAUGUUGAAGUAAGAAAUUUGAUCAUUAAUCUUGUAAUUAACGAAGGUAAAAGUACAAAAGAAGUAUCGGAUCUCGUGCAAAGAAGUGAGACUUCAAUACGACACCUGGUCCAUCGAUAUAUAUCAACAGCUAAUAUCAAUCCUGGUAUUAGAGUUGGUUUUCGACAGUCAGGUUGUACUGAAAAAAUAAGAAAUAGGCUACAUGAGUUAAUUGAAGAAAAACUAUAAUCUACAGGAGAUAAAGGUAGAAUUGGGGAGGAAAAAGAGUUUACUUUGUGAUGGACAACGUUAAGCUUCAUCAUUCUUUAUCAGAUUUUUAUGAUAGGUAUCCCUAUGAAAUUUAUUUUUUACCUCGAUACUCACCUUUUUUAAAUCCUUGUGAAAAAAAUCUCGAAAAUUAAGAAUACUACAAGAGGACAAAUAACCCCAAUUGGAAAUAACGAUUUGUUAGACCGAAUGAGGAACGGUUGUGAGCACGUUACUAAACAUGAUCUUUCAAACUUCGUGCGAGACUGCGAAUUUUUCUUACGCAAUGUGUUAUUGGAGAUAACAUAAAUAGAGAAUAAAGUCCUAAUUUUUUAAAAUUUGUUUUUUCGAACUUGCAUGUUCCAAUUGGAAUCACCGCUGCUAACAAAUAAGCUCCUAUUAUAAUGCAUAUGGAAUGUUAAGUUUCUCCUGAUCAUGAUUGAGUCAUCACCGCAAAUCACAAGCUCAUCCUGUCUCUCUACAUAGGCAUUUAAAUCAAACUACAUAGGUUUAGAAAUUCUAAAGCAGUUUCCUAUUUCGGCCCCACUUAUGUUUCUGUUCGAUCUGGAAAGCAUUUAUCAUGGACAGUGUAUGCUCACGGAUUGGACUUUGAACAACUUUUGAUUCUGCCAGAGUUUGAUUCCAUUACAAAAGACCCUUUAAUCAAAUUGGUCAAGUCAGUGGUUGUCUUCCGUGUUGGUUUAGCGGGAUUGAUUCUCCCUCAAGACUUGUGGUAAAACAGUGAAUCCUUUUUGGAGAAACAGAACUUUUGAUUUCGCUGGAAAGAUCUGAUCACUUAAAUCAUUUAAAAUUCCUCCUUAAAACCUGUUUUGUCCCUUUGUGCAAUCAGGUUUGUCUUAGAGAAUCUGUAAGCAUUGUAACUUGUACAUUGCCUCCUAAGUCAUGUCAUUAUUAAUCAUUCCAAUUUCAUUAACCAAAUAGCUAAUACCCUUUUGCGAGUUAGACCUGUUCCCAUUGCUGCCAAGCACAAAAUAGAGUUAAUGACUGUUAUUGCGGUAAAAGAGAACACGGCCUUUGGUGAAUAGUUUGAUGAGGAAGAAAUUGAAACGGAGGACUUUAAUAUUCCAAAUGAUGCAACUAUUUUAGACGAAUCGGCCCUAUUUCAAUCAUACCAAUUAACGACAAUUUAAAAAAUUCUGGAUGAACGAAAGGGAGGUCUGAACAAGAACAAACAACUGAAACAAACGUGGAAAUACCCGAUAAGCUACUGAAUGAUAUUUAAAUACAGAAAAAUGUAAUUCAUGUAAAAAAUUUCAAUAAAAAUGCUUAAAUUUUCUUAA
Hydra vulgaris (swiftwater hydra) is the source of this 1699-nucleotide long non-coding RNA. RefSeq lists it as uncharacterized. The record is from RefSeq and is a predicted model, not a curated record. Lineage: Eukaryota; Metazoa; Cnidaria; Hydrozoa; Anthoathecata; Hydridae.